ACUCUAAAUGGUUAGGGUGUUUAUGCAGUAAUCCACUGCGUAAGUCAUAGAACGACUUUUCUAAGGAGAAAACAAUG
Molecule: non-coding RNA, 77 nt
Filed under: unclassified sequences
Description: freshwater-2 RNA
Rfam family: freshwater-2 RNA
About the family: Aquatic, esp. fresh water. No recognized genes
Source: RNAcentral